Centruroides sculpturatus (bark scorpion) is the source of this 367-nucleotide long non-coding RNA. RefSeq lists it as uncharacterized. The transcript has 2 exons. The record is from RefSeq and is a predicted model, not a curated record. Lineage: Eukaryota; Metazoa; Arthropoda; Arachnida; Scorpiones; Buthidae.
UAUAUAAACCCCCGAAUAUUCUACGAAAGUCAGUUUCAUUAGAAUAAUGAAGGCACUACUUUUUAUUUCCCUGCUCUGUAUAAAUGGACUAUCCACAUUAGUUUCAAGUCGUAGAAUGUAUUAUUUCAGAGAUGCUGGACCACACCAAAUAUUUUGCGACACCGAGCACGUAUUUGGAAUUUGCAGACAUUAUUGCAAGACACUUGGAAAUCGUGAAUGUCCACAAGCAAAUCCUCCUUGCAUUUGUCCUCCUUAAGAAGAUAAUAAACAAAAACUUUCUUGUUUAUUUCGGUAAUAGUUCAUUAUUCCUGUUCAACUUUCAACAUAUUUUAAUGAAGAAUUUUUGCAAUAAAAGUUGCUAAAAUAA